ACGUCCUCUAACCAAGCAGCAGCAGAUGGGGGAGUGGCAGAUUUCCAGACCAGCAAGAUUCUCCUACGGGCCAAAAGCGAUGUCACUUAUAAAAACCAGGAAGUCUGAAGAUCUCAGAACAGAUCCCUGAGGCACACCACUGAUCUCCGAGCUGCAUGCAGAUUAUGACCCGCCUACAGCCACGAUGGACAACCAUUUCUAUGGGCAAGCCAGUUCUGGAUCCACAAAAACAAACUUGUUGACAGGAAUGGAUCAACAGGAAAGGCGCUUUUUAUUUGAUAUCAACGUUGCAAAACCUCACGAUGGGCCGAAGAAAGAAUGGUCAGACAAUGGGUUAGAUAUGCUGGAAAUGAGCUCAAUCGAGGAAAAGGUUUGUGCCAGACCUUGUGAGGAUGACUACAAACUGUCCGGGGCCUGAUCGCGGAGUCCCACUGGCCGCACUCAACCCAUAACCCUCCAUUCCUUUCCUGUCCAUAUGCUAUCCAAGUUUA
Hypanus sabinus (Atlantic stingray) is the source of this 491-nucleotide long non-coding RNA. RefSeq lists it as uncharacterized. The transcript has 3 exons. The record is from RefSeq and is a predicted model, not a curated record. Lineage: Eukaryota; Metazoa; Chordata; Chondrichthyes; Myliobatiformes; Dasyatidae.